GUAGGUGGCAAGCGUUGUCCGGAAUUAUUGGGGCGUAUAGCGCGCGCAGGCGGUUCGUUUAAGUCUGAUGUGAAAGCCCACGGGCUCAACCGUGGAGGGUCAUUGGAAACUGGAGAACUUGAGUACAGAAGAGGAAAGCGGAAUUCCACGUGUAGCGGUGAAAUGCGUAGAGAUGUGGAGGAACACCAGUGGCGAAGGCGGCUUUCUGGUCUGUAACUGACGCUGAGGCGCGAAAGCGUGGGGAGCAAACAGGAUUAGAUACCCUGGUAGUCCACGCCGUAAACGAUGAGUGCUAAGUGUUAGGGGGUUUCCGCCCCUUAGUGCUGCAGCUAACGCAUUAAGCACUCCGCCUGGGGAGUACGGCCGCAAAGGCUGA
Molecule: ribosomal RNA, 376 nt
Filed under: uncultured organism
Description: partial 16S ribosomal RNA
Rfam family: Bacterial small subunit ribosomal RNA
Source: RNAcentral